Oxyura jamaicensis (ruddy duck) is the source of this 2362-nucleotide long non-coding RNA. RefSeq lists it as uncharacterized. The transcript has 4 exons. The record is from RefSeq and is a predicted model, not a curated record. NCBI's taxonomy places the organism in Eukaryota, Metazoa, Chordata, Aves, Anseriformes, Anatidae.
CAAUAGACUUUGUCAUACUGCCCCUGACUCUUAUAUCUUGACAGUAAUCCUCAUUUUAAAUUUUGAUGAUUAUAGGCUAUGUUUGGCUCUGCUCCUUGUUGCACAUGGAACAAGAUGCUGUGGCUGAUCCUCUAACCUAUAUGCUGUCGUAGUGGUCACAGAGUGGUUACAAAAUUUCCCACGGCUCCAGAUCUGUUGUGUGGAUGCUGGACAAGUGCUGGCAGGCACUUCCAUGAUGUUCAAAUCCUGCCAGAGAGAAGAAAGACUCUGUUGACUCCAAGCAGCUGGACACCUCACUUAUUUGUCUUUUCUCAAACCAGACUUCCAGAAGAAGCCUCGAUAGAGUGAUGUGCUCUCUUCAGGCACUGUUCUUGUAUGCACAGAUUGAGUCAUCCAUUCAGGGAAUAGGAAACAUGCACACACUCUGAGUCACUAGACAAAUACAGAAUGCCAAGCAUCAAAAAAUGUAGAAGAGUCUUUGCUUAAAAGAACUUUUGGAAAUUGAGUAUUUCUUAACUGUUACAAACAGUUGUUGAGCAAUUCUGACAAAUCUGUAAAAUUCAUCACUGUCUUGAGGAUAGGAAAAGGAGCAGUUCCAAGAACAGAUGAACUAAUGAAACCUAAUUUCCUAUAAAUAUCUAUUUCAUUUUCAUGUCUUUACUGUUUGAAGAGGAUUAGAAGAUUGCUGGAAACUUGCUGCAUUGCAGAACACUUCUCUCUGAGGGGACUUUCUGGUAUCUAAUGAGAAUUAUUCCAGUCUUUCUCACUGUAGACACAUUAGUGGGGUGUCUGCUGAGAUAAAAUUUGUCAGUACACUCAAAAAUUAAGGUGGGUAGACAGGUGGACACAGACCACUACAGUUAGGCUAAUCUAUAUAGUCUCAUUCUUCUCAGAAAGCAGGUUAGAAGAGCCUUAUAUAUUUGUUAACUGGCAGUCACCAAACUAGAAGUGGUGCCUGAAGCAUUAGUCGUAGCAAGGAGGGAGGUGCUACUCAAAGAGAAACUCAGGGUGAUCCUGUAAUGCCUAACGUGCUGAAAGACGAAGCAAUAAAGUCAGUCAGACAGCGAUAAAGUUAUUUGACUGCAUAUGAAUAUACUCUUAAUCUGUAAGACGGCAUUACCUAAUAAAGUAACAGUUUCAUUCAGAGUCAAAUGCAGCCUGGUAGCUUGCGGAAUAGUUUCCUGCAUAAAUUCAUAAAAACAAUGAGAAAUUGAUCUGACCUGGUUAUGCCUGGUACUGUCUGGUUAUGGAAUGUCCAAAAGCAUGGUGAGGUGUUUGUGUUCAGUCACUGAUCAUUAUUUGAGUACUUUUUUUCUUUUUAAUUAACUUUUUUAUUAUUACUAUUUUACAUAAUUGCUAUGAAUAGCUUCUGAAUUCAAGAGGCCAUAUGAGGUGCAAAGUUAUCUUACGCUAUUUCUGAUCAUAAACAGCACUGCUGUUUAUGAGAUCCUGAGCUCUUGUCUGCGUGACAGUAUGGACCAGAUAGAGUAAGGAGUCUCUUCCUCUUGGGGUAGAAUAACACUCAGCUUCUUACUCUAGUCAGAACACUGCAGGUCGUGUAAUUGUAACAGUGCUGUUUAGUGUGUGCUAGUUGGCUUGGCAAGGAUGGCAAAGAUUUAAAACAACCUGCAUAAAAUUCAACAGGAACGUGACAUGAAAUUUGGAGGAAGGGUCUAGAAACUGGUCAGGUUGUAGAGAGGUGGAGCAUCACCAGAGCUAUUUCUCUUAAAGCAAAGUUUAACUUCAUGAGUAUGGAUCCCUCUUUGUAGAUUAUCUAGCAAGCAGACUCAGUUGCAUACCACAUGUGAGAUGCUCUAAGGCUUGAAAUGGUGAGGUGUAUGUCAGAUAGUAAAAAGAUAUUGCUUGUAUAAAGAUCUCAGUAGAAAGCCAGCUGCAGUGCCAUGUACUCAUGAUAUGCUAUGCCUGUGAGAUAUGUCUCUGAUGAAAUAGUAUUAAUAAUCUGAUCUCCUGUGGGAGGACUCUGGGAGUGUGAAAAUUACAAAGCAUGGAACCGUCUGGAAUAAACUUUUCAGAUUUCUUGUAAAAUUGUACUUAAAGUUGGGGAAAUUAAUCUUCCCCACAACAGGUUUUCCUUUUGUUUCCUUUCUCCUCCCAAGGCUUUUCAUUUCAGCAUUUCCAAAGAUAGCAAUUAAAACUCUGUAGAAGAAGCCAGGCCACUCACUGCUGAUGGAAGUGUUGAACAAGACAUGCUUCUGGAAUCUGGCCACAAGCCACACUGCAUUUCGUUUAGCAAGGCUCAGAGUGUUUUCUCGAUGCUGUUAAUUACACAAGGCCUUGAAAGAAGAGAGCGACUAUGUUAAAUAAAAAUCCAAACUCUCUAGAAACUGGGAACUAUUUUCUC